This 253-nucleotide ribosomal RNA is filed under the name uncultured bacterium. Its description in RNAcentral is "partial 16S ribosomal RNA". It matches the Rfam family "Bacterial small subunit ribosomal RNA", at positions 524 to 776 of the family's 1533-position model. The record is from RNAcentral.
UACGUAGGGUGCGAGCGUUGUCCGGAAUUAUUGGGCGUAAAGGGCUCGUAGGCGGUUUGUCGCGUCGGGAGUGAAAACCCCGGGCUUAACUCGGUGCUUGCUUUCGAUACGGGCAGACUAGAGGCAUGCAGGGGAGAACGGAAUUCCUGGUGUAGCGGUGAAAUGCGCAGAUAUCGAGAGGAACACCGGUGGCGAAGGCGGCAUCCUGGACCGGCAUUGACGCUGAGGAGCGAAAGCCAGGGGAGCAAACGGG